This is a long non-coding RNA of Hypanus sabinus (Atlantic stingray), 514 nucleotides long. RefSeq lists it as uncharacterized. The record is from RefSeq and is a predicted model, not a curated record. Lineage: Eukaryota; Metazoa; Chordata; Chondrichthyes; Myliobatiformes; Dasyatidae. The transcript is spliced from 3 exons.
GUACCUUUCAACACAUAAUACAGGUUAUCUGAAAAGCUUGAGGCCAGAAAGGCUUUGGAUUUUGUAAUUUUCAGAUUUUGGAAUAUAUAUUAAGUUUCCUGCCUUCUGCAAAUGCACCAUCUUUGGACUGAAUUCCCUUUGGCACUUCCAUGGCCAGCUGACACCUUCCUGCAGACGAGAGCUGCCUUAUCACUGCGAGCCACUCUGCCAGUCCUGCAGCAGACAUCUUCAGCGGGUUUCCUCCCCAGAUCAUUCGUAAAUUCCACAGGAAUCACGGAGCCCAGAAAUGAAUCCUGCAGAACCACACUGCUUAGGUUUCAUGGUUACCUGGAGAAGAAGAAUUUCAAGAGACAAUAAUCAAGGGAUUAUGGUGGGAUUUAUUGUUACAGUUUAGCUCGGGUUAUACAGUUACUCGCAUGUGUGUGUGUAAUUGAUCCAGACUGUAACCGGAUGUGUAAUGAUCAGCUCUCCUGCCUGUAUGUGACUGAAUGGGUUCUCUCCCCAGAUCAUUGCA